RNAcentral lists this unclassified non-coding RNA (169 nucleotides) under soil metagenome. RNAcentral's name for it is "partial contains 5.8S ribosomal RNA, internal transcribed spacer 2, and large subunit ribosomal RNA". The record is from RNAcentral.
AAGACUAUAGACCUGCGGAGUACCUGCGGAAGGAUCAUUAGUGAACGCCCUCACGGGCUUAUAACUAUUCCAAACCUCUGUGAACCGUGCCCUUCGGGGCUAUUUUACAAACAUGGUGUAACGAACGUCAUAUAUCAUAACAAAACAAAACUUUCAACAAUGGAUCUCU